AAUAGAUACCCAGGUAGUCCACGCCGUAAACGAUGGAUGCUAGCUGUUGGCCGUAUCGACCCGGUCAGUAGCGAAGUUAACGCGUUAAGCAUCCCGCCUGGGGAGUACGGUCGCAAGAUUAAAACUCAAAGGAAUUGACGGGGCUCCGCACAAGCAGUGGAGCGUGUUGUUUAAUUGGAUGAUAAGCCAAGAACCUUACCAGGGUUUGACAUCCUAGGAAUUUCUUCGAAAGAAGAGAGUGCUUUAUUGAACCUAGUGACAGGUGUUGCAUGGCCGUCGUCAGCUCGUGUCGUGAGACGUUAGGUUAAGUCCUUCAACGAGCGCAACCCCUAUGGCUAGUUGUAUUUUUCUAGUCAGACUGCCUCGGUAACGGGGAGGAAGGAGGGGAUGAUGUCAGGUCCGUAUUACCCUUACACCCUGGGCUACAAACGCGCUACAAUGGCCGGUACAAUGGGCAGCCAAGUCGUGAGACGGAGCAAAUCCCAUCAAAGCCGGUCCCAGUUCGGAUUGCAGGCUGAAACUCGCCUGCAUGAAGUCGGAAUUG
Molecule: ribosomal RNA, 544 nt
Filed under: uncultured bacterium
Lineage: Bacteria
Description: bacterial SSU rRNA
Rfam family: Bacterial small subunit ribosomal RNA
Source: RNAcentral